UUAGUUAGCGUGCACAUCAAACCCACAGCCAGACGGAAUUCUCACUGCACAGACGCAAGACCAUGAAGCUUCUCCUGUUAGUGUGUCUCCUGACCUACAGCUCCACAGGCACAGCUCAGACCGGCCCAAGCAGAAUUACCACAUCCACAACUACUACAGAAGCUGCAGCAACACCACCAACAACACCUGCACCAACAACACCACCAACACCAACAACUGCACCCACAAGUGAAAGAAGAGCUACAAAGGCACCCGAAACUGCAAGAACUACUAAAGGUUCAUCUGGAGGAACAACUCAAGGUUCAAGCAGCAAGGAAGAGCCGCCGCUCAUCACUGCUGACACAGCUGUUCUAUGGAAAGUCCUGAUCAUAGCAGUGAGCUGUCUGGUUGUUGUGGCGCUGGCUCUGUUCUCAUGGAGAAGGUUCUACAAAAGGAAAGCGCAUCUUGUUACAAGGUCAGGAGAAUUUCUAUUACUCUAUUGAAGACAACACACCAACCACACGACCUG
Long non-coding RNA from Pygocentrus nattereri (red-bellied piranha), 508 nucleotides. RefSeq lists it as uncharacterized. The transcript has 5 exons. NCBI's taxonomy places the organism in Eukaryota, Metazoa, Chordata, Actinopteri, Characiformes, Serrasalmidae. The record is from RefSeq and is a predicted model, not a curated record.